AUCCAGCUGAUGAGUCCCAAAUUGGACGAAACGCGCGUCAAACUGGAU
This 48-nucleotide non-coding RNA is filed under the name Schistosoma mansoni. The record is from RNAcentral. Lineage: Eukaryota; Metazoa; Platyhelminthes; Trematoda; Strigeidida; Schistosomatidae.